GCCCCCGUCGCCCAACUGGACAGGGCAAAAGGCCUCUAUCCUUUACGAUGCAGGUUCGAGUCCUGCCAGGGGCA
RNAcentral lists this transfer RNA (74 nucleotides) under Novosphingobium sp. AAP83. It matches the Rfam family "tRNA". Rfam says of the family: Transfer RNA (tRNA) molecules are approximately 80 nucleotides in length. Their secondary structure includes four short double-helical elements and three loops (D, anti-codon, and T loops). Lineage: Bacteria; Pseudomonadati; Pseudomonadota; Alphaproteobacteria; Sphingomonadales; Sphingomonadaceae. The record is from Rfam by way of RNAcentral.